Molecule: ribosomal RNA, 162 nt
Filed under: uncultured bacterium
Lineage: Bacteria
Description: partial 16S ribosomal RNA
Rfam family: Bacterial small subunit ribosomal RNA
Source: RNAcentral
CAUGCCGCGUGUGUGAAGAAGGUCUUCGGAUUGUAAAGCACUUUAAGUUGGGAGGAAGGUCUGAUGCCUAAUACGUAUCAGUCUUGACGUUACCGACAGAAUAAGCACCGGCUAACUCUGUGCCAGCCACUUCGGUGACUGAGCGGGCUGGCAAGGCGCAUA